GGCAAAAUAGGAGACUUUUUGAUCUCCUCCUUUUCUCAAAACAAAGGAUCUCAUGGCUGGUGUGGGUGUGGUCAGCAAUGGUGCUGGCCAUGAAGGUGCCACCAACAGUCCUGCAACCGGCAGUCCAGCAAGAUCCUUGAGUUGAAUCAUGAUCAAGAAACCAAGAAAAAUAAGGAAGAAGAAAAUUUGGUUAAAUCCAAACUAGCAGUGACCUCAUAGGGGAGGGGA
RNAcentral lists this long non-coding RNA (228 nucleotides) under Elaeis guineensis (African oil palm). RNAcentral's name for it is "long non-coding RNA (EGUI_LNC002362)". The record is from RNAcentral. Lineage: Eukaryota; Viridiplantae; Streptophyta; Magnoliopsida; Arecales; Arecaceae.